RNAcentral lists this long non-coding RNA (355 nucleotides) under Nicotiana benthamiana. RNAcentral describes it as "long non-coding RNA (NBEN_LNC024445)". The record is from RNAcentral. Lineage: Eukaryota; Viridiplantae; Streptophyta; Magnoliopsida; Solanales; Solanaceae.
UUCAAAAUGGUAGAGGCAAUCCUAGUUGACCAAAUCUUAACUCAAUAUAAUUCAAACAAAAGGAAAAUUAAACAAUUGACAAUACUGGACUGACUAUCACUACAAAUAUUCAUAUGAACAUAGGCCGGAAAUACUACUUCAUUUCAUUCCAGUUGAGGUUACACCAAUGAAUUCGAGCGUGUACCUAGUGUUGAAAAUACAAGAAAGGAAGAUGAGAAUUAGCAGCAGUAGUAAGCAACACAGCAACAACAACAAACAGAGCCGAGUUCAAGACCAAACAACAGCUUAUUUUCCUCUCAAACUAUUGAACUCUUAGUGUUAAAAAUUCCCCCUCGAAGUGUCUCCUGUUUUUUUA